Molecule: ribosomal RNA, 1454 nt
Filed under: uncultured Bordetella sp.
Lineage: Bacteria; Pseudomonadati; Pseudomonadota; Betaproteobacteria; Burkholderiales; Alcaligenaceae
Description: partial 16S-23S ribosomal RNA intergenic spacer
Rfam family: Bacterial small subunit ribosomal RNA
Source: RNAcentral
AGUUCGAUCCCGCUCAGAUUGAACGGCUGGCGGGAUGCUUUACACACAAGUCGAACGCAGCACGGGACUUCUGGUCUGGUGGCGAGUGGCGAACGGUGAGUAAUGUAUCGGAACGUGCCUAGGUAGCGGGGGAUAACUACGCGAAAGCGUAGCUUAUUACCGGCUACCGCCCUUCGGGGGAAAGCGGGGGGACUUCGGGCUUCGCAAUUAGAGCGGCCGAUAUCGGAUUAGCUAGUUGCAGGGUAACGGCUCACCAAGGCGACGAUCCGUAGCUGGUUUGAGAUCGCUCUACGCCAGCACUGGGACUGGAGACACGGCCUAGACUCCUACGGGAGGCAGCAGUGGGGAAUUUUGGACAAUGGGGGGAAACCCUGAUCCAGCCAUCUCGCGUGUGCGAUGAAGGCCUUGGUUAGAAGCACUUUUGGCAGGAAAGAAACGGCACGGGAUAAUACCCCGCAACCGACGGUACCUGCAACAAGCACCGGCUAACUACGUGCCAGCAGCCGCGGCAUGUAGGGUGCAAGCGUUAAUCGGAAUUACUGGGCGUAAAGCGUGCGCAUAUGGUUCGGAAAGAAAGAUGUGAAAUCCCAGAGCUUAACUUUGGAACUGCAUUUUUAACUACCGAGCUAGAGUGUGUCAGAGGGAGGUGGAAUUCCGCGUAGCAGUGAAUGGCGUAGAUAUGCGGAGGAACACCUGAUGGCGAAGGCAGCCCCUGGGAUAACACUGAUUAUUCAUGUACCUGAGUGCCGUGGGAGCAAACAGGAUUAGAUACCCCGGUAGUCCACGCCCCAAACGAUGUCAACUAGCUGUUGGGGCUCGGGUCAGGUAGCGCAGCUAACGCGUGAAGUUGACCGCCUGGGGAGUACGGUCGCAAGAUUAAAACUCAAAGGAAUUGACGGGGACCCGCACGUUGGGUGGAUAUGUGAUUAAUUCGAUGCAACGCGGAAAAAACUGGCCUUACCCUGAUGGUUCAACUUUAGUGAGAUUGGUGUCGCAAGAGAACCGGAACACAGGUGCUGUAUGGCUGUCGUCAGCUCGUGUCGUGAGAUGCUGGGUUAAGUCCCGCAACGAGUGGCAACCUCGUCAUUAGUUGCUACGAAAGGGCACUUUAUCGAGAUUUGCCGGUGACAAACCGGAGGAAGGUGGGAUGACGUCGUCCUUACGGGCCUUUGGCGGUAGGGCUUCACGGCACAAUACCGACAGAGGGUCAACCCGCGAGGGGGAGCCAAUCCCAGAAACCCGAUCGUAGUCCGGAUCGCAGUCUGCAACUCGACUGCGUGAAGUCGAACGCUAGUAAUCGCGGAUCAGCAUGUCGCGGUGAAUACGUUCCCGGGUCUUGUACACACCGCCCGUCACACCAUGUGGAGGCUUUACCGUGAAGUGUUAGCCUAACCGUAAUGAGGGCGAUUACCACGGUAGAUUCGGCGACUGGGGUGAAGUCGUGGAAUAAGGUA